ACGGCUCAGUAACACGUGGUUAACCUGCCCUUGGGACGGGAACACCCCCGGGAAACUGGGGCUAAUCCCCGAUAGGUGAAGAACCCUGGAAUGAGUUUUCGCCCGAAAAGCCGUCGGAGCAUCUUUCGACGGUGCCUAAGGAUGGGGCCGCGACCGAUCAGGUUGUUGGUGAGGUAAUGGCUCACCAAGCCUAUAACCGGUGCGGGCCGUGAGAGCGGGAGCCCGGAGAUGGGCACUGAGACAAGGGCCCAGGUCCUACGGGGCGCAGCAGUCGCGAAACCUUUGCAAUACACGCAAGUGUGACAGGGUCAUCCCGAGUGCCGACCGCUGAGGUUGGCUUUUACCCAGUCUAGAAAGCUGGGGGAAUAAGGAGAGGGCAAGUCUGGUGUCAGCCGCCGCGGUAAUACCAGCUCUCCGAGUGGUGUGGACGUUUAUUGGGCCUAAAGCAUCCGUAGCUGGCUGAACAAGUCCCCUGUUAAACCCACCGAUUUAAUCGUUGGCUUGCGGGGGAUACUGCUCGGCUAGGGGACGAGAGAGGCAGACGGUAUUCCCGGGGUAGGGGUGAAAUCCUAUAAUCCCGAGAAGACCACCAGUGGCGAAGGCUGUCUGCUAGAACGCGCCCGACGGUGAGGGAUGAAAGCUGGGGGAGCGAACCGGAUUAGAUACCCGGGUAGUCCCAGCUGUAAACGAUGCAGACUAGGUGUUUGGACGGCCACGUGCCGUUCUAGUGCCGCAGGGAAGCUGUUAAGUCUGCCGCCUGGGGAGUACGAUCGCAAGAUUGAAACUUAAAAGGAAUUGGCGGGGGAG
RNAcentral lists this ribosomal RNA (807 nucleotides) under uncultured archaeon. RNAcentral describes it as "bacterial SSU rRNA". It matches the Rfam family "Archaeal small subunit ribosomal RNA", at positions 85 to 876 of the family's 1478-position model. The record is from RNAcentral.